GGUUAAGCGACUAAGCGUACACGGUGGAUGCCCUGGCAGUCAGAGGCGAUGAAGGGCGUGCUAAUCUGCGAUAAGCGCCGGUAAGGUGAUAUGAACCGUUAUAACCGGCGAUACCCGAAUGGGGAAACCCAGUGUGAUUCGUCACACUAUCAUUAACUGAAUCCAUAGGUUAAUGAGGCGAACCGGGGGAACUGAAACAUCUAAGUACCCCGAGGAAAAGAAAUCAAUCGAGAUUCCCCCAGUAGCGGCGAGCGAACGGGGAGGAGCCCAGAGCCUGAAUCAGCAUGUGUGUUAGUGGAAGCGUCUGGAAAGGCGCGCGAUACAGGGUGACAGCCCCGUACACAAAAGCGUAUGUGCUGUGAGCUCGAUGAGUAGGGCGGGACACGUGGUAUCCUGUCUGAAUAUGGGGGGACCAUCCUCCAAGGCUAAAUACUCCUGACUGACCGAUAGUGAACCAGUACCGUGAGGGAAAGGCGAAAAGAACCCCGGCGAGGGGAGUGAAAAAGAACCUGAAACCGUGUACGUACAAGCAGUGGGAGCACCCUU
Molecule: ribosomal RNA, 546 nt
Filed under: Salmonella enterica
Lineage: Bacteria; Pseudomonadati; Pseudomonadota; Gammaproteobacteria; Enterobacterales; Enterobacteriaceae
Description: partial 23S ribosomal RNA
Rfam family: Bacterial large subunit ribosomal RNA
Source: RNAcentral